Molecule: RNA transcript, 4723 nt
Organism: Syzygium oleosum
Lineage: Eukaryota; Viridiplantae; Streptophyta; Magnoliopsida; Myrtales; Myrtaceae
Gene name: disease resistance protein L6-like
Exons: 5
Source: RefSeq, a predicted model, not a curated record
AGCGAUCUCCAUCUGUGGUUCUGGCCUCUAAACUUUUUCCAUCUCUAACUGCCACUGGUUUUGCUGCUAUACUUUUCAAUUUUUUUCUUGAAGAGAAGAUCAAGUGAGAUCAAAUGGAGGGGAGUGCCAAAAAAAGACGCAUCUGUGAAAAUGAUGGAACAGCAGGAGGCGCUUCUUCUACUCACACUUCAACAGAAGGUCAAGGAAUGGAUACUUCGUCAGGAUAUGACUAUGAAGUAUUCUUGAGCUUUAGAGGACCAGAUACUCGAGCAGGUUUUACCGACUUCCUUUACACUAGUCUUAAAGAUGCAGGAAUCCGUGCGUUUAAGGAUGACGAAGAUCUCCGCAAGGGGGAAGAGUUUGCCCCAGAACUUCUCCAAGCAAUUAAUCAGUCGAAGAUCUCAAUACCUAUCUUUUCGAAAGGUUAUGCCUCUAGUGUAUGGUGUCUCAAGGAGGUAGUCCAGAUGGUCCAAUGCCAGAAAAAGAGUGGACAAAAGAUCAUGCCCAUUUUCUAUGAUGUGGCACCUUCAGAGGUUCGAUACCAAACAGAGGGUUAUGCAAAGGCCUUUCUUGCACAUGAAAACAAGAAGCGACACGACGAAAAGACUAUGCAAGAGUGGAAGGAUGCUCUCAGUGCAGUUGGGGCAAUAAACGGAUGGGACCUGCAUAGCGAGAAGAACAGGCGAGAAGGCGAGUUUGCAAAAAAACUCACCAAGGAGGUUUUCAAAGAAUUGAAAAAGGCUUAUUUGGUGGUAUCAGAUUGCUUGGUCAGUGUUGACAACCAUGUGGAUGCAAUCAUGGAAAUGAUUGGUGCUGAGACAAGUGAAACACGGAUUAUAGGAAUCCAUGGAAUGGGUGGCAUCGGAAAGACGACUAUUGCCAAAAUCAUCUACAAUCAGCUUUCAAAAAAUUUUGAGGGUUGUUGCUUCCUUUCUAACGUCCGUGAAACGUCAAAACUCGAGGGCAUUCACCGCUUGCAACAUCAGCUCAUCUUUGACAUCCUCAACACGAAAUGGGCAGAUAUAAGAAAUAUUGAUGAAGGGAUUAAGACCAUUAAAGACAGGUUGUCUAAUAAAAGAGUCCUCCUUCUUCUCGAUGAUGUGGAAGAAAAGGAUCAUAUGAAUGCACUUGUAGGAAAACGUGAUUGGUUUGGUAGAGGGAGCAAACUCAUUAUUACUACAAGAAAGAAGGAUGUUCUCAUUGUUCCGGAAGUGGACUGCACUUAUGAGGUCAAUGGCAUGGAUGACUAUCAAUCUCUUGAGCUCUUUAGCAAACAUGCUUUCAGAAGAGACUCUCCUUUGAUUGAGUAUAUUGACCAAUCCAAGAGGGCAAUAGACAUUGCUAGAGGUCUUCCGCUAGCUCUUGAGGUCAUAGGUUCACUUUUAUCUCGCACUGAAAAGAAAAGGUGGGAUGACAUAUUGGAGAAGUUGGAAAAUAUUCCUCCCUUGGAAGUUCAGAGUAAGCUAAAAAUAAGUUUUGAUGCGUUAGAAGUUCAACAACAGCAUAUGUUCCUCGAUAUAGCUUGCCUUUUCAUUGGAUAUGACAAAGACAUUGUGGUUUAUUUUUGGGAAAAAUCUAAAUUUUUUCCGAAAGAAACUAUAGAAGUUUUGCAGAACAUGUCUUUGAUAAAGAUUGUAGAGUAUAAUAAAGUGUGGAUGCAUGACCAACUCAGAGACCUCGGAAGAGAAAUAGUUCGUCAAGAAAGUAAGAUGAAAAUAGAGAAGCAACGGAGGGUGUGGGAUCCCAAGGAAGCAUUGGAUUUGCUGAGGAGACAUGAGGGAAAAACAAAAGUUGAAGCUCUUCGUCUCCGCUUUGACCGUGAGCGGCGAUACUAUUUUACUUGUGAGGACUUUAAGAGAAUAUCAAAUUUGCGGUUUCUUCAAGUUAACGGUCCGAAGGAAUAUUUUCGCGCAGAAGAGAGGCUUCUUUGGCACGAAUUGCCAUCAAAUGUUCUUCCAACUAAUGUUUUUCAGGAGAAUUUAGAUCUCCUUCCACAUUUACGUUGGCUUUCUUGGCACGGUAUUCCCCCAACAUUUAAGAUUGCAAAUUUCUCUAUGGAGAAUGUGGUUGUUCUUGAUCUAUCCUGGAGUAAGAUUACGCAUGAUUGGCAGGGGUGGAGCCAUAUGGAGGUGAUGAAGAAUUUGAAAAUUUUGAAAUUGACCGGAUGCAAUUGCUUGGAGAGAACUCCCAUCUUCUCUGCUGAGGUAAAUUUAGAACGAUUGAUCCUAGCGAGCUGUGAAUCAUUAACUGAAAUUGAUAGGUCGAUUUGUCAUUUGAAAAGCCUAGUUUCCUUAGAUUUAAGUCAUUGUUCCUAUCUUCGGAGGCUACCAGACGAGCUGGGUAGAGAUCUUGCGAGCCUUGAAUACCUAUCUCUAGUAUGUUGCACAUCGUUCAAGAGGCUUCCGGAUACAAUUGGAAACUUGGAAUCGCUGAUUGAGUUGGAUAUAUCCCAAAUGAGGAUUAAAGAACUACCCGAUUCCGUCAGAAAGUUGAAAAAUUUGAAAUUAGUAAGGAUGUUUUGGACUGCAAUGAGCAAAAUACCUAAUGCCCUUUGGAUGAUUGAGAAGCUCGAAAAAAUAGAUGCUGAAUUUAGUGGUUUGAAAGUGGAAGUGGAAAUUGGCAAUUGCAUCUACAGAAAUCAAUCCCUAAGGAUCUUGAGAUUGGUGAAUGUUAGAAUAAACGUAGUACCGAGGCUUCCUGAAAGUCUUAUCCAUCUAUGGUUGUGUGCAUUGCACAUGGAUACGUUUCCAGAUCUCUCAAACCUGACUAAUUUAGAGAAAUUGUCACUGACCUUUGGCCCACGCGAUGACGCUGGGGAAUCUAAUGGGCCUGUGGAAGAAUAUCUGAUGCCACGGUGGAUUGGGAAUUUAAGCAAACUGCAGACUCUGUUCCUAAACUCUUGUCAUUUUGUGACCCACUUACCCAUGGAUUUUAGUAGUCUCCUUCCUCGACUCCAAUACCUUACACUCCGAUGCCCUAAUCUGCGUUGCCUCCCGAGCCUUCCCUCCAGUUUAUUAUCCUUGGAUUUGCACUCUGAACACAUGACCGCCUUACCCACAGAUAUUAGUAGUCUCCUUCCCCGACUCCAAACACUUGCACUCGAAUGCCGUAAUCUGCGUUGCCUCCCAAGCCUUCCCUCCAGUUUGUUAUCCUUGGGUUUGGGCUUUCAACACAUGACCGCCUUACCCACAGAUAUUAGUAGUCUCCUUCCCCGACUCCAACUACUUCAACUCCUAUGGCCUAAUCUGCGUUGCCUCCCGAGCCUUCCCUCCAGUUUAUCAACCUUAUAUUUGCACUCUGAACACAUGACCGCCUUACCCACAAAUAUUAGUAGUCUCCUUCCCCGACUCCGAGAACUUCUACUCUACUGCCGUAAUCUGCGUUGCCUCCCGAGCCUUCCCUCCAGUUUAUCAAACUUAUAUUUGCACUCUGAACACAUGACCGCCUUACCCACAUAUAUUAGUAGUCUCCUUCCCCGACUCCAAAUACUUGAACUCCGAUGCCCUAAUCUGCGUUGCCUCCCGAGCCUUCCCUCCAGUUUAAUAUCCUUAAGUUUGGUACAUUGCAAGUCAUUUGGUUCCCUGGGGGAUCUAUCGAAUUUGAAGAACCUAUCACAUCUUAUGAUUGCUCACUCUGUAAUCUCAGAGAUGCGAGGCCUUGAUGGUUCGGAGAACCUAGAUUUGCAGCUUUCGGAACUUCAACAGGUGUGGAUAUUACCUAAUCUAAGUAAUCUCAACCAACUAUGGCGUCUUUUUGUGUACUAUUGCGAUAAUCUGGUUGAGAUUCAAGGCAAACUACCACAAUGUUUAAAAUCAUUGAGUAUUCAUGACUGUGGAUCUUUACAGAAAUUGCCAUAUCUAUCAAGCUUGAAGGGACUGCAAAGGGUUGAAAUAAGGCGGUGCAGGAAAUUAAAUGUGGAGGAAAUUUCUUGUUUUGUUCGGAGAUGGCAGUCAAAUUUGUGGGUGACAAGACGAAUAAUAAGGAGAAGAUGACGAAUCUGGAUACGAAUUUGAAUAUGGAUAUGAGGGAGAAGACAGACGGAUAAAUGCACGUUGCUCUUGAAAGCUUCUUGAUCGCCGACCACAAAUUGUUCCCUUGCGUGUAAACUUUAAACGAAUUGAGAUGACUUCCUUGUACUGUAAACAAGUAGAUGGAAUGUGUGUCAGAAGGUCAUAUAAUAACUAUGGUUCUCAUCCUGGAACUUUACUGCAUAAUCAACUCAUUGUUGCAACUGUGAAGAAGACAGACACCCUGUAUUGAUAUGCUUAUGUUCAGUCUAUUUUUCUGGAAAGAUGUGCUUCUUAGUGGGAUUUGCAAAUAUUAUGGAGAAGUCAUAAAAUGAAGAAAGAGGAAUUUUACUUGGGUAGCGGAUCAAUAGUUGGUGCGGCAAAACUUCCACCUCCAAGGUAUCAUAAAUCGUCUUAUAGUUAAGGCUAAAUUUCAGUAAUAUCGUUACCUACUGCCCAGGACAUAUGAUAAGUCUCACUUGGGGUUAGAAAUCAUGUAAAUGAAACUCUUGUGUGAUCUCGAUUAUUGCCUACAUUUUCUAGAAAUGGUUAUGCCUCAGUGAUUAUCUAUAAUAGAAGCCCUUCCAUUCACCUCGGUUAUACUAAAGGAUUCUUUUAGGUUUUAAGAUUGACAAGAAGUGCUAAGGGAGAGAUCUCAAACUGCCUUGUUGCCGAUUUCUAAUGUAGCUGAGAGGAAUUAAAGUUUGAAAAACUUA